This 458-nucleotide ribosomal RNA is filed under the name uncultured bacterium. Its description in RNAcentral is "partial 16S ribosomal RNA". It matches the Rfam family "Bacterial small subunit ribosomal RNA", at positions 338 to 795 of the family's 1533-position model. The record is from RNAcentral.
CCUACGGGUGGCAGCAGUGGGGAAUUUUGGACAAUGGGCGCAAGCCUGAUCCAGCUAUUCCGCGUGUGGGAUGAAGGCCCUCGGGUUGUAAACCUCUUUUGUCGGGGAGCAAAGCGAACCACGUGUGGUUCAUUGAGAGUACCCGAAGAAAAAGCAUCGGCUAACUCCAUGCCAGCAGCCGCGGUAAUACGGAGGAUGCGAGCGUUAUCCGGAUUUAUUGGGUUUAAAGGGUGCGCAGGCGGAGGUGCAAGUCAGCGGUCAAAUUGCGGGGCUCAACCCCGUACUGCCGUUGAAACUGCAUCCCUUGAGUGCGCGAGAAGUAUGCGGAAGGCGUGGUGUAGCGGUGAAAUGCAUAGAUAUCACGCAGAACUCCGAUUGCGAAGGCAGCAUACCGGCGCGCAACUGACGCUCAUGCACGAAAGCGUGGGUAUCGAACAGGAUUAGAUACCCGAGUAGUC